Molecule: unclassified non-coding RNA, 395 nt
Filed under: soil metagenome
Description: partial contains 5.8S ribosomal RNA, internal transcribed spacer 2, and large subunit ribosomal RNA
Rfam family: 5.8S ribosomal RNA (bases 1-122)
Source: RNAcentral
GAUGAAGAACGCAGUGAAAUGCGAUACUUGGUGUGAAUUGCAGAAUCCCGUGAACCAUCGAGUCUUUGAACGCAAGUUGCGCCCGAAGCCAUCAGGUUGAGGGCACGUCUGCCUGGGCGUCACAUAUCGUUGUCCAAUGCCUAUUGCAGUGCAAUAGGAAUUUCUAGGGCGAAUGAUGGCUUCCCGUGAGCGUUGUUGCCUCGCGGUUGGUUGAAAAUCGAGUCCUUGGUAGGGUGUGCCAUGGUAGAUGGUGGUCGAGUUAGAACGAUACCGAUCAUGUGCAUGCUCCCCAAAAUAUGGCCUCUAUGACCCACACGCGUCUUUUGACGCUCAUGACGAGACCUCAGGUCAGGCGGGGCUACCCGCUGAAUUUAAGCAUAUCAAUAAGCGGAGGA